GAAAUACACAACUAUGCACUGGGGGGAUUUGGGGAGGAAAAAAAGCAGAAAAAAAAAGAAAAUAAUACAUCACAACAAGGCAUAUUUAUGUAUCCUCCUGAUUAUCUAAACAAGGAAAUAUUUUAGAAAAUUGGAAAACUAUUGCUCAACAUAUCUGUAUACUUCAAUUAGAGUUUUUCCAAACAUGGGAUGACCCUAUAUUGUUAGUGACUUUUUCACUUAAUAUGAGUAAAUAUCCCUGCCUUUUAAUAUUUUUGAAAAUAUAAUUUUAAUGGUUUUAUGGUUACACAGCAUCCCUUACGAUAAAUGGUACAUAUCUCGUAUGAAUGACCUGCUUCUACAGUUCCUGCUGCCAUCCUCUUCCACCAAUCAUAUCUGUUACUCCCGAAAGUGAGUCACUUGAUAACAGCUCCAGACUGCGUCCUAAUCUGGCAUCAUUUCCUGAACUUCCAGAGACUUUCAUUUUAACCCUUCUCUCUUAGGACAGCAGGCAGUUCACACCACGUCUCCUACCCUCCUUUAGAUUGGGAACUCCUCCCAGGCCAAGAUGGUGCUCAGUCAGUUUCAGUCUCCUCUCAGCACAGAGCCAGGCAUAUGGCAAAUACUCAAUAAAGAUUUGAAAAACACCAUAAAUCUGAACAAGUUACUCACUGCUGCGGAAAACUUUAAUUGUCUAUGAAAAUCCCUUCUCCCCUUCUUGGGGCACACAGCUGGAAUAUUUCCCAGCCUCCCUUGAGGCCAUAUGACCAUGUCUUUGCCAACGGAAGAGGAAUGAAAGGGAUGUGUGCCAUACCAGACCUGGCUUGUUAUAACCUCCCACAUGCCUUCCUCCUUGUUCUUUCUCCUUUGCUGAUGGAUGCAGAUGGGCAUGAGGUCAUCAGGAUGGAGAAGGCAUGUGAUGGAAGAACUCUGGGCUCCUGAAUGACCACAUGAGGGAGCGCAAUCUCCCCAACAUGAAGACUCACCCAGCACUGUGAUGUGGGAAAAUAUAUAUGCUACUAAAAUUGGGGGAGUUAUUUGUAAUUCAGCAUAAACUAAUACAUGCACAAAAAUUUUAAUCCAAGGAGCAACUUAAAUAUGCAUCAAUCCAGUACAUUUAAAUUGAAGUCAAUUCAGAUGUGGACAUGGGAGGACCCUGCUUCAGGCCAGGCAGAAAGGAAACAGGCAAGCAAGCAGAAGGUCCCCCUUCAGCUGCUGAAAUGGAGAAUGCUGUAUCCUGAGGUUAGAAUACUAAGGUCCGUUUCAUUAAGUGGUUUUUCUUUUAAAGAAAAUACAUGCUGUUAUGGACGAUUGAAGUUUUGGGAAUUGUAUUUCUUAGUCGGCUUUACUUUGGACAGAACUCUCCAUUUAUAUAUAGAACUGGUUUUUUAAAAAGCCCCUGGCUUUAUAUAGAAUGGCUACUCAUCAGCUUCUGACAUUCCAUGCCAAGGUUCAAAGCCCUCUCCUAGGGCUUCUUUGGAAAUUAGAAACCCUAAGAUGUUAGGAAGCUCUUGCCCUUCCCUCCCUAUGUGAGGGUUAUUCUCUUCUGGACAUCCAGAACAUGAGAACUGACACACGCAUGCACACACACACACACGUGUAUGCACACACACAAACACAUACACUGACAUUAGGUAAAAACUAUGAGUGGAGCCAAAAGAGGAGCAGACACAGGGGAGGUGACAAGAGGGAGAAAAAAGAAGUUGGAGGCACUACAAACAUGUGCCACCACCUGUCCAAUUUCAUAGGUAUUAUCUCACAUAUGCCUGAGGACAUACCUAGAAGUCCAUGCUAGAAUAAUCCCCAUUGUGCAUGUGGGGAGACUGACAGCCCCUGAGAGACAGAAUGACUUAUCCAGGAUCAAGAACAGGUAAGAAUGAGGAGUUGAGUCUGAACUUAGGUCUGUCUCCUUAAACCUGGGACCCUGGCUGCACCCAGACCUUCCCAGGGCCCCGUGGAGAGGGUGUAUUGGUGUAACUGCACAGAUAGGGUGUUGCAUGGAGAUGGGGGGUGAGCAGUAGCAGCCCAGAGGGCUGUUUGGAUAGAUGUUGUCUGAGAAGGGGACUCAGGAAGAGAGCCCAAAGUGAAGUCACUUCCUUGACAAUAGACCCCCACAGAACUUGGAACCCCUGUAACCAGGCGCCCACAUUCCAGUGACAGCCCCAUACCCAGCCCACUUGGCCAGACACUUCACUUACAAAUAUGUUCUCCCGCUGUGUCCUCACUUAACGGGGCUCUUGUUUUGGGACAGCCUGGAGUGAGAGCCUUUUCGGAAGCUGCAGACAUUUGUUCAACCCUCACUCGACCCAGACACCUCUGGCCAUUUGACAGGAGGUCCCCUAAGAGCUCCACCCAGGAGACGGGACAGGAGCUGAUCAGUGGGGUCCUCUACUGCAUCUGCCUGCAGGGGAGCAGGUGCCCCACACCAGCCACAGAGUCCGGCGCUGGCUCAUGGGUGAAAAUGUGUCCACAGUGAAAUGGAAGAGACCCGCAUGGUGUGGACCGUCCAGGGAGGCAGGCCAGAAAAGCAAGUGGAGCACCUGGUGUUCGCCUUCCUGGGCAGUGACCCCUCAUACGUGCCCACCCUCCUGGGCACCUGCAGAGCUUCUGCCAACACCCAACAGCACUCGACCUGCUGUUCAAAGGUGAGCACUAUGUCCGUCCACGAGACAGUGGUGUUUUGGUGACUUACUAGCUGUGAGACUUCAGAAUGUCACUGCCCCUCUCUGAGCCUCAGUUUGCUCCUGUGAACCUUGGAGUGAAUAGAGCACCAACCUCAUAGGGUUAUUUUCAAGACUAAGUGGGUCCACCAUGGAAAGUGCUGUCCGGGUGCCUGGCCCUGGGGCAAGAACUGCUGCAGGGCCAUGUUUGUGCUAAUUUAUCAUUUCCCUCAUGCCAUGACGAAGCCUCUGCCUCAUUCAUCACUGUUCUUGUAGCCUUGGGCUAAAGUGUUUUCCCAUUGGAAAAUGAGAUUUGAGAUUCCAUUAGUGGUUCCUUUUCAUGGGUAAAGUCUGAGGAGGGAUCCUUGGGGGUGAGCAGGGAGGCCACAGGCCCACUCAUAUAUCCAUGAUGGGGCUGGUUGGGGCUCAUUCAUUUAUCAAACAUAUAGGAAGCCCCACUAGGUGCAGGCACUUAUCUCGGUAUGACCAUAAUCCAGCGCACAGAGCAGACAAGUCCUGCCUCUCAGGGCUUCCAUUCUAGUCGGGAGUCAGAAUGUCACACUAGACAUCACAAGAAGGUAGUGUCCACACUACAGCCGAUCUAAUGUCCUCCUGGCCUCCUCUAGAUGGAUGCAUCCUCCCUCAUUCUGAUGAGGAUGGCAGUCACUAGUAUCAAUUAAAAAUGUGAAUGGGCUUUGAUUUAAGAAGGAGCAACUCCCUUUUCCAAAGAACUGUGUAGAGAUGUGGGGUUCUGUGGAUGAGGAGGGGAUGGCAGAGCCCUGGAUCCAACAUCUUAUGAUUCUUGCUUGAGGGCAGAAGUCUGAGCGCUUCUCCUGGCAAAAAGGAAAGGAGUCAGAGAGAGCUACAGAUGGGGCUGUGGAUGCUGUGAGGAAUAGAGGGGAGGUCAGAGGACAGAGUCAGCCCUGGAAAUAGCCCUUCCCCAUUCCAGCCCUGCCUCCAUCCCCAUCCUGGGACCCAGAACAGGAGGUGUGGAGAGCAUCCUGCUCAUGAAUCUGGUGGAACCUCAACAGCGGGGGCUCGGCUGGUGCUCAGGGGACUCACUGAGGGCUCUGGGGCUGGCUGAACCCACACUGUGGGAGAUGAGUGGCAGUGGCAGGAGGAGACCCACAUGGAGCAUUUAGAGAAUUAGGCAGAUAUAGGUGAAGGAGGUAAGUUUGAGGAACUGGGAGAGCCCUGGGAAUCCUGAGCAGGAGACAGAGUUCAUAUGUUCUUCAUCGGUCAGAUUUUCAUGGAGCACCUACUGUGUGCCAGUGAGUGCAAUGAACAGAGCAGACACUCCUCCUUGUCCUCAUGGAGUUGACAUCCCAGUGGGGAAGAGUCAGGGAGAUAGACAGAGGUGUGUGCCAGGCUUUCCCAAAGAAGUGGAGAAGUGGUCACAUCGAUGGAUCAAGGGCUCUCACUUAAGAAGGCUUUUUACCAGCCCCUCCUUGGUGACCAGGCCUGCCUCUGCCACAACUGCCAGAAUGGAGGUGGACAUGGAAUAAGGCUGGCCUCUGGGUGGGCAGGAGCAGAAGGCACAGAGGCCCAAGUCCCCAAAGGGAUGCCCUGGGAAGGGAGUGUGGAAGGAAACCAGGCCUCUGACUCAACUACCCCCAGGAUCAUCUCCUCAAUCCUGGGCACCUGACUGGACCAGGAUUUCCACCAGCCACCAGAAUUUCCCUGCCUGAAGAUGCUACUGGCCUACACUGGGCUCAACAUGCCGGCUCGGACCUGGAGCGCCAUGCCCACCCGCUUCUGGCACAACUAGAGCACCUUAAGCCCAUUGAGGGUGAGGAGGACUGAGGGUGAAGACUCAGGGUGGGCGAUGUGGGCUGUGGGGAGCGGUGGGGCUGGGUCACACAGAGCUGAGCCUCCGGAGGCUAGAGUUGGGUCAGGAGCAAUGAGUAGCCUCAGAUCACUAUUCCCACCCACUACAGUCUGGACCACUUCCUGGGGGUGGGUUCCUGGAAGAAGACUUCAUCGAUUGACAGAGAGAGGUUUCCUGUGUAUUUGGAGGGCACAUGGAAAGGCAGUCAUGUUCAUGAUAUUUUCUCCUCUUGGAGCUACAGUACCAGCUCCAGAGCAAGCUCUAGAACCACUUCAAGAGUUAGUGCCAGCUCCCAUUCUACUGCCCACUACAGUUCCAGAGCCAGAGCCAGCUCAAGCCACAGCUCUCAUUCAAUUCAAGAGCUCAAACAAGCAUAUAUGUCAGCUAUAAUUCCUGAGCCAGGGAGUGCUCAAGCCACAGCUGUCAUUCAAGCUCAAGAGCUAGAACAAGCACCUACAUAAGCUCCAAUUCCAGAGCCAGGAAAGGUUCAAGCAACACCUCCCACCUAAUGUCCAGAGCUAGAAGCAUCACGAAAACCUAUUCUAGUAUGAGCUCCAGAACUCCAGCAAGUUCCAUCAACAGCUCCAGCUCCAGAGCACAAGCCAACCACAGCAAGAGCACUACCGCCAGCUCUUGAGCCCCAUAGUGCUUUGGCACCAGCUCCAGUUCUAGAACUAAAGACAAUAACAGACCCCAUUCUCAAAGCAACACUGGUGCCAGAGCCAGUUCCUCCCCCAGUAUACUAGAGCUGGUACCAGCUCAGCAACCAGCGCCAGCUCCUGCAACGCCUCCAGGGCCCGAUCACAAGCUGCAACUCACACCAGCUGCAGCCCCAGAGACUUCCUUCCCCUCCCCUAUAAUUCCACUUUUUAAAUUUUUGUUUUUCCUUAUAUUUACUCAAUAUUUUACUAUAUUCUAUCAUAUAAAAUUCACAAAAUAAAAUUUAACUCUUUGAUCACUUUAAAUGGGACAUUAAGUACAUUCACAAUCUUGCAUAAUCCCCACUGCUGUCUAUUCCAGAACAUUUUCAUCAAAGAGAAGCCCCGUAUCUACUAGUCAGUCACUCCUCCUUCCUGUCAC
Equus caballus (horse) is the source of this 5547-nucleotide non-coding RNA. NCBI's taxonomy places the organism in Eukaryota, Metazoa, Chordata, Mammalia, Perissodactyla, Equidae. The record is from RefSeq and is a predicted model, not a curated record.